Molecule: non-coding RNA, 3048 nt
Organism: Benincasa hispida (wax gourd)
Lineage: Eukaryota; Viridiplantae; Streptophyta; Magnoliopsida; Cucurbitales; Cucurbitaceae
Source: RefSeq, a predicted model, not a curated record
UUUGACACGAGUUUCAACGGCCAAAAAGCAGGGACAUAUUCUACAAUUUCUAUUAUAUUCUCAUUGCUCACCCGGAUUUGGAUACUUGCGCAUGGCGGCUUAUCUCUUCUAGUCUCCUCAAUCUGACUGCAGCCCUCACACCAAUUCUUCUGCAUUUCUGUGUCUGUACGCAUAACUUUUUCCUUUUCUCCUCUCACUCUGCCACUUCGUGUUGUGAUUUUGUGUAUGCAAUGUUAGCUUCAUAAUCUUGUUUUCUACUGACUGGGAAGAAACUGAGUGGUUUCAGAAAGGCAAAAAGGCUUUUCCUCGGAAAAAAAGAUGAGAAACAAUUUGCCUCAAUCGUCUUCCUAUGAAUCUGCUAUGGAAGCACUUUCCUCCUUGAUAACACAGAAAAGACGUGGAGAAAUGGUUUCUGCAAUCCGUAACGAGGAGAAAUUAGAGAGGAUGAGAAAAUAUGUUGAGAUUCUAGACAUAGAAGAAUGUGUAAAGAAACUCAAAAUUAUUCACGUGGCAGGAACUAAGGGGAAGGGUUCCACAUGCACCUUUUGUGAAGCAAUUUUACGGGAAUGUGGUCUUCAAACUGGACUCUUCACUUCCCCUCAUCUCAUUGAUGUGCGAGAAAGAUUUCGCGUAAAUGGAUUGGAGAUAUCAGAGGAUAAAUUUCUGAGGUACUUCUGGGCCUGCUGGACACAAUUAAAGGAAAAUGUUACAGAGCAUCUGCCAAUGCCUGCACUAUUUCAGUUCCUAACACUGUUGGCUUUUAAAAUAUUCAUAGAUGAAGAGGUUGAUGUUGCAAUAAUUGAAGUUGGUCUUGGGGGAACGUACGAUUCAACAAAUGUGAUUGAAGAACCUAUAGUCUGUGGCAUCACUUCGCUCGGGAUGGACCACAUGGAGAUAUUAGGAAACUCGCUUGGGAUGAUUGCUUCACACAAGGCUGGAAUUCUCAAGCCUCAAGUUCCUGCAUUCACAGUACCACAGUUUCCGGAAGCAAUGGAUGUUAUCCAGAAGAAGGCACGUGAGUUGAUGAUCCCAUUAGAGGUAACUGAACCGCUUGACCAUAAAAAGCUGGAUGGAUUGAAGCUUGGCAUGUCUGGUGAUCAUCAGUUGGUUAAUUCUGGUCUUGCUGUCUCCCUUUGUAAAUGUUGGCUUCAGAGGACUGGAAACUGGGAAAGGAUGUUCCUAAAUGGUUUCAAAGGAGCCAAAAUACCAGCUGCAUUUCUUAAAGGUCUUUCAACUGCCAAUCUUUCAGGGAGAGCUCAGAUAGUUUAUGAUUGUUAUACAUCGUCAUUUAAUUCAACAACGCAGUCUGACAACUCAAAUGGAGACUUGGUAUUCUAUUUGGAUGGUGCUCAUAGUCCAGAAAGCAUGGAAGCUUGUGCCAACUGGUUCUCUAGUGUUGUGAAGGGCAAUCACAAGUCGUUAAAUUGUUUUAGGGCUAAAAAUUUGGACAGAGAUUCGGGAAGUGAUGACCCUGUAAAAGUCCUGCAGGAAGCUGAGUCCACAAAGUUAUCAAAGCAGAUUCUCCUAUUCAAUUGCAUGGAAGUGAGAGACCCACAUAUAUUACUUCCACGACUAGUGAAUACAUGUGCUUCCUCAGGUGUUCAUUUUUCAAAAGCCCUUUUCGUCCCUACCAUGUCAACAUAUAGCAAAGUCUCUUCCGGUAAUUCAGUGACUUCAUCUGAUAUUAUAAACAAGGACUUGUCAUGGCAACUCAACCUCCAGAGACUUUGGGAGAAGAUUAUGCAUGGAAAGGGUUCUUGUCACUGGAUCACUUCAUCUGGUAGGAGACGUGCUAAAGCUAUUAAAAAGGUGAUGUUAGAUCAAUUCAUCUGGUCUCCCCACUGGUUGGGGAUGUGGUAUUUCAAACUUUCAAGGAUCUUCCCAUCCGUUGGGGUUUCUUCACAAUUUCUUUUUUUCACUUUUAGUUUGUUUCAUCUCACAUUUAAUUAUCUUUCAUUCAAUUCAUACCUCAAUAAAUUAAUUUUGAAGUUAUCUUUUUCUAGUAUCUUCGGUACUCAAAUCAUUGCGAUUUUGGUAAUAUAUUCUUUAUUUGUUCAAUAAGGUUUGGUCUUUGUGAUGGCAUUCUCUUCUUCGAUCCUUUUUAUGCUCAACUUUGUGGAUUCGCCUUUGCUUUUUAAUACCACAACUCAAAAUAUGCAAGUAUUGAGAUUUGAAUUUCGACUUAAAGAACGAAAGGGAAAGUUGGACACAUGGGAACUGGGUACUCAACGCAUGCUUCAUGGGUUGACAGCUAUUGGUAGAGGUUCAUGGUGACAUUUAUGAUUUGAUGUGUUGAGCUUUGAUUUAUGAAGUAUUGAAAAUAUGAUGAUAGAAUGGUUUGUGGCAAAACAUGGCUUGAUCUUUUUUAUGUACAUUUCAUCAUGCAUAAAUAUGACCUUAAUGGCUCGUUUGGUUCAUGGAAUAAGAGGUGGGAAUGAAAAAUGAUAUUCUAUCAGCAUGUUUGGUACAAGUUUUUAACCUUGGAAAUAAGAUAUUCCACUUCGUUUCCUCUUAGAAGGUUAGGCCCUCGGUUGAAUUUGGGUCAGUGGUGAAAAUUGGAGGUUUUCGGACAAAACAAGAGGAGUUUAGAGCUCAAAUUUUAAGUGUGUUGGCACUUAUCGAAUUUCAUGGAAUAUUCUCGUGUGUCCUUAAACAGAGUGGGCCAAUAAUACCCUUAUCAAUUGUUUUGGGCCUUUGGACCUUUUUCAGUACAUCUCAGAGAGAUUACAUCGAGAUUCAAGUAAUUUUUCAAAAUAGUAUGUGAUCUUCCUAAAUCUUAUACCAAAUCUUCUUAUAGUUUCAAACAAUAAACUAUGUGGAACAAUCCCUAGUUGUUUGUUAGAUCUAAAUUUGUAUUUGUUGGAUCUAUCAUCAAACAAGCUUAGGGGAGCUUGGAACAACGAAUCCAACGCAAUUUGAAUCGUCCAAAUCGGAGCUCAAAUGAAUAAGAUAUAGGCAAAACAAACUUGUACCGGUUGGAUCUAUCCGCAUGUGAAAGAUUUAUUUAUUUAUUAUUAUUAUUAUUUUGCGGAGGUUUGAACAUUUUUU